This is a long non-coding RNA of Aquila chrysaetos chrysaetos, 1135 nucleotides long. RefSeq lists it as uncharacterized. The record is from RefSeq and is a predicted model, not a curated record. NCBI's taxonomy places the organism in Eukaryota, Metazoa, Chordata, Aves, Accipitriformes, Accipitridae. The transcript has 3 exons.
UUCUUCAACAGAGAAAAUGUCAGCUGUGCUUUCCUCACAGACAGUUCUGCUGCCCUCUAACACAGUGAAACUACCUCUGAAACGCAAUGAGCUAUUUCCUCUCCUCGGAUAAACUAGAUUCAAAUGUCUCCUGGGGCAAGGACACAAUCUUCCAGGGGCUGCUCUUUAUCUUCCAUGGGAACAGUUGGUACUCUCGCUGAAUGUAAUUCACCUGGUUGUUUUCCAUACCUCUGCUCCAUAAGCAGUUCCGCUCGGGUAGUCUCUCAGCACUGAUCACUUGACAACGGAUGGAGCUGCUGUACUUUUGGUGAACGAAGACCAAGCAAAAAAAUACAAGGCUCAUAACUGUGCACAUUCACUGAUGUGUCAAGGAAUGGCUUCCCCUUGUUAUUCAAGCAGAGGCAUGAAUUUCUCCAGAAGGACACCUGUGAGCGGUAGAGGAAUGCCAGACCCAGCGCAUGUCUAGGACAGCCAGGCGCCAUGCCUGGUUCCUGCCAACAUGAGGACUUCUUCGUCAGAAAGGUACUUUGCUAUGAGCGUGAAGGUCAUUUAUACCUGCUGCAAGACCUCUGUGGAGUCUUAAUACAAAUGACGAUCUCAGCCCUUCUUGAGGGCUGAGAGUCAUCACAGUAAAAUUUAAAAGAUAAAUUACGCCUUACCACAAAAUGGUGCCAAAUACAGCACAUACAAGCAUCUAAGUCUGUGCAGAAAGUAGAACAGUGUUAUGUUGGGCAGGAAUGAAAAAAAGAAACAAGCUAAUCUCUAAUGAAAUUGGAAAAGAAAAUAGCCGAAGGACUUUUUCUCUCUGAGUUUCAUGGUAAAUACCACUCAGUUUUUGGUAUCAUUAAUAUCUUAUUAUUAUGACUACUAUUAAGCAGUAGCCCCACUUACUUUUGUCUGUAUUUUGUGGGCACGCCUCGGCAUUUUACAAGUUGGAGGUUGUGCUAAGAGCUGGAAAUAUUGUAUCAUCAUUUCAUUACCACCUGGCUUAAAGAGAGGAUCCAUUAAUCUGGUUUUGUAGGCAUCUGCUGUGAGAAAGUAAGGGAGGAGGCCGGUACAAACUCUACUAUAGUUACUGGGAAACUGCAAUUAUUUUUUUAAAGAAGAGGCAACAUUUUUCUUCUACUUCCUUAAA